CGGCGAUUUCCGAAUGGGGAAACCCAGUGUGUUUCGACACACUAUCAUUAACUGAAUCCAUAGGUUAAUGAGGCGAACCGGGGGAACUGAAACAUCUAAGUACCCCGAGGAAAAGAAAUCAACCGAGAUUCCCCCAGUAGCGGCGAGCGAACGGGGAGCAGCCCAGAGCCUGAAUCAGUGUGUGUGUUAGUGGAAGCGUCUGGAAAGGCGUGCGAUACAGGGUGACAGCCCCGUACACAAAAAUGCACAUACUGUGAGCUCGAUGAGUAGGGCGGGACACGUGGUAUCCUGUCUGAAUAUGGGGGGACCAUCCUCCAAGGCUAAAUACUCCUGACUGACCGAUAGUGAACCAGUACCGUGAGGGAAAGGCGAAAAGAACCCCGGCGAGGGGAGUGAAAAAGAACCUGAAACCGUGUACGUACAAGCAGUGGGAGCCUCUUAAUGGGGUGACUGCGUACCUUUUGUAUAAUGGGUCAGCGACUUAUAUUCUGUAGCAAGGUUAACCGAAUAGGGGAGCCGAAGGGAAACCGAGUCUUAACUGGGCGUUAAGUUGCAGGGUAUAGACCCGAAACCCGGUGAUCUAGCCAUGGGCAGGUUGAAGGUUGGGUAACACUAACUGGAGGACCGAACCGACUAAUGUUGAAAAAUUAGCGGAUGACUUGUGGCUGGGGGUGAAAGGCCAAUCAAACCGGGAGAUAGCUGGUUCUCCCCGAAAGCUAUUUAGGUAGCGCCUCGUGAAUUCAUCUCCGGGGGUAGAGCACUGUUUCGGCAAGGGGGUCAUCCCGACUUACCAACCCGAUGCAAACUGCGAAUACCGGAGAAUGUUAUCACGGGAGACACACGGCGGGUGCUAACGUCCGUCGUGAAGAGGGAAACAACCCAGACCGCCAGCUAAGGUCCCAAAGUCAUGGUUAAGUGGGAAACGAUGUGGGAAGGCCCAGACAGCCAGGAUGUUGGCUUAGAAGCAGCCAUCAUUUAAAGAAAGCGUAAUAGCUCACUGGUCGAGUCGGCCUGCGCGGAAGAUGUAACGGGGCUAAACCAUGCACCGAAGCUGCGGCAGCGACACUAUGUGUUGUUGGGUAGGGGAGCGUUCUGUAAGCCUGUGAAGGUGUACUGUGAGGUAUGCUGGAGGUAUCAGAAGUGCGAAUGCUGACAUAAGUAACGAUAAAGCGGGUGAAAAGCCCGCUCGCCGGAAGACCAAGGGUUCCUGUCCAACGUUAAUCGGGGCAGGGUGAGUCGACCCCUAAGGCGAGGCCGAAAGGCGUAGUCGAUGGGAAACAGGUUAAUAUUCCUGUACUUGGUGUUACUGCGAAGGGGGGACGGAGAAGGCUAUGUUGGCCGGGCGACGGUUGUCCCGGUUUAAGCGUGUAGGCUGGUUUUCCAGGCAAAUCCGGAAAAUCAAGGCUGAGGCGUGAUGACGAGGCACUACGGUGCUGAAGCAACAAAUGCCCUGCUUCCAGGAAAAGCCUCUAAGCAUCAGGUAACAUCAAAUCGUACCCCAAACCGACACAGGUGGUCAGGUAGAGAAUACCAAGGCGCUUGAGAGAACUCGGGUGAAGGAACUAGGCAAAAUGGUGCCGUAACUUCGGGAGAAGGCACGCUGAUAUGUAGGUGAAGUCCCUUGCGGAUGGAGCUGAAAUCAGUCGAAGAUACCAGCUGGCUGCAACUGUUUAUUAAAAACACAGCACUGUGCAAACACGAAAGUGGACGUAUACGGUGUGACGCCUGCCCGGUGCCGGAAGGUUAAUUGAUGGGGUUAGCGGUAACGCGAAGCUCUUGAUCGAAGCCCCGGUAAACGGCGGCCGUAACUAUAACGGUCCUAAGGUAGCGAAAUUCCUUGUCGGGUAAGUUCCGACCUGCACGAAUGGCGUAAUGAUGGCCAGGCUGUCUCCACCCGAGACUCAGUGAAAUUGAACUCGCUGUGAAGAUGCAGUGUACCCGCGGCAAGACGGAAAGACCCCGUGAACCUUUACUAUAGCUUGACACUGAACAUUGAGCCUUGAUGUGUAGGAUAGGUGGGAGGCUUUGAAGUGUGG
Molecule: ribosomal RNA, 2036 nt
Filed under: Escherichia coli
Lineage: Bacteria; Pseudomonadati; Pseudomonadota; Gammaproteobacteria; Enterobacterales; Enterobacteriaceae
Description: partial 23S ribosomal RNA
Rfam family: Bacterial large subunit ribosomal RNA
Source: RNAcentral